This 468-nucleotide ribosomal RNA is filed under the name uncultured bacterium. Its description in RNAcentral is "partial 16S ribosomal RNA". It matches the Rfam family "Bacterial small subunit ribosomal RNA", at positions 28 to 507 of the family's 1533-position model. The record is from RNAcentral.
GACGAACGCUGGCGGCGUGCUUAACACAUGCAAGUCGAACGGAAAGGCCCUGCUUUUGUGGGGUGCUCGAGUGGCGAACGGGUGAGUAACACGUGAGUAACCUGCCCUUGACUUUGGGAUAACUUCAGGAAACUGGGGCUAAUACCGGAUAGGAGCUCCUGCUGCAUGGUGGGGGUUGGAAAGUUUCGGCGGUUGGGGAUGGACUCGCGGCUUAUCAGCUUGUUGGUGGGGUAGUGGCUUACCAAGGCUUUGACGGGUAGCCGGCCUGAGAGGGUGACCGGCCACAUUGGGACUGAGAUACGGCCCAGACUCCUACGGGAGGCAGCAGUGGGGAAUAUUGCACAAUGGGCGGAAGCCUGAUGCAGCAACGCCGCGUGCGGGAUGACGGCCUUCGGGUUGUAAACCGCUUUCGCCUGUGACGAAGCAUGAGCGACGGUAAUGGGUAAAGAAGCACCGGCUAACUACGUG